This is a long non-coding RNA of Lycium barbarum (goji berry), 644 nucleotides long. RefSeq lists it as uncharacterized. The transcript is spliced from 3 exons. The record is from RefSeq and is a predicted model, not a curated record. Lineage: Eukaryota; Viridiplantae; Streptophyta; Magnoliopsida; Solanales; Solanaceae.
UACACAACACAAAGAAAGAAAACCUAAGCCUAGAGAGAGAGAGCAUUCGGCCAAGCUUGGCUGAUUUUUGAGCUCUUUGAAUCUUGAUUCAAAAUUUAUUUUCCAAGGUGUUUCAACCCUUUAGAAGGUCCCUAGAAUGUGAAGAUAGUCUUUGGAGCAACAAGAAUCAUUUUCAUCUCAAGUCACCAACUCUAGCCAAGUAGAGAAGUCAAGUUGUCAAGGUUGAAGUAUUAUUGGGCAGCGUAUACAUAUUGUGUGACAAAUAAACGCCAAAGGUGCAGAUACUCGCUUGGGUGAUCCGACAGCUUAGGAUUUCCUUCUGCUAUUUUGGAGAGUUCCGCUGUUCGGGAGCCCAGAUUUGGUAUAGAUCCUUUCUGAUCUAAAUAUAUGCAUAUGUUGACUAAGGGUACGACGGGGCCCUGUCCCGUCAUAUUUCACUGUUGAAACUCUUAGAGGUCUGUAGACAUGUGUGUGGGUCGUAUGCAGACGUGAUCAGUUGUGUGUGUGUUAUCAGUAUGCUUAUUCUAUCAUGGUAGCAGCCUCGUCGGCUCGCAGACAUUAUCAUGUUGUAGUAGUAGCCCUGUCGGCUUGCAUUUAUAUGUAUGUUUAUGUGACAAUUCCGAGACCAUGGUUUGGUCGUUAAA